This 551-nucleotide ribosomal RNA is filed under the name Pichia fermentans. RNAcentral describes it as "eukaryotic LSU rRNA". It matches the Rfam family "Eukaryotic large subunit ribosomal RNA", at positions 67 to 648 of the family's 3401-position model. The record is from RNAcentral. Lineage: Eukaryota; Fungi; Ascomycota; Pichiomycetes; Pichiales; Pichiaceae.
AACAGGGAUUGCCCCAGUAGCGGCGAGUGAAGCGGCAAAAGCUCAGAUUUGGAAUCGCUUCGGCGAGUUGUGAAUUGCAGGUUGGCGCCUCUGCGGCGGCGGCGGUCCAAGUCCCUUGGAACAGGGCGCCAUUGAGGGUGAGAGCCCCGUGGGACCGUUUGCCUACGCUCUGAGGCCCUUCUGACGAGUCGAGUUGUUUGGGAAUGCAGCUCUAAGCGGGUGGUAAAUUCCAUCUAAGGCUAAAUACUGGCGAGAGACCGAUAGCGAACAAGUACUGUGAAGGAAAGAUGAAAAGCACUUUGAAAAGAGAGUGAAACAGCACGUGAAAUUGUUGAAAGGGAAGGGUAUUGCGCCCGACAUGGAGCGUGCGCACCGCUUCCCCUCGUGGGCGGCGCUCUGGGCGUGCUCUGGGCCAGCAUCGGUUUUUGCCGCGGGAGAAGGGCGGCGGGCAUGUAGCUCUUCGGAGUGUUAUAGCCUGCCGCCGGCGCCGCGAGCGGGGACCGAGGACUGCGACUUUUGUCUCGGAUGCUGGCACAACGGCGCAACACCGC